RNAcentral lists this ribosomal RNA (665 nucleotides) under uncultured bacterium. RNAcentral's name for it is "bacterial SSU rRNA". It matches the Rfam family "Bacterial small subunit ribosomal RNA", at positions 99 to 795 of the family's 1533-position model. The record is from RNAcentral.
CGGACGGGUGAGUAACGCGUGAGAAUCUGCCUUUAGGUCCGGGACAACCACUGGGAACGGUGGCUAAUACCGGAUGUGCCGCAACGUGAAAGGGGAAACCCGCCUGAAGAUGAGCUCGCGUCUGAUUAGCUAGUUGGUGAGGUAAAGGCUCACCAAGGCGACGAUCAGUAGCUGGUCUGAGAGGAUGACCAGCCACACUGGGACUGAGACACGGCCCAGACUCCUACGGGAGGCAGCAGUGGGGAAUUUUCCGCAAUGGGCGAAAGCCUGACGGAGCAAGACCGCGUGAGGGAAGAAGGCUCUUGGGUCGUAAACCUCUUUUGUCAGGGAAGAACACAAUGACGGUACCUGACGAAUCAGCCUCGGCUAACUCCGUGCCAGCAGCCGCGGUAAUACGGAGGAGGCAAGCGUUAUCCGGAAUUAUUGGGCGUAAAGCGUCCGUAGGUGGCUAGUCAAGUCUGCGGUCAAAGACUGGGGCUUAACCCUGGAAAGGCCGUGGAAACUGACGAGCUAGAGUGCAGUAGGGGUAGAGGGAAUUCCCGGUGUAGCGGUGAAAUGCGUAGAGCUCGGGAAGAACAUCGGUGGCGAAAGCGCUCUACUGGACUGCAACUGACACUCAGGGACGAAAGCUAGGGGAGCGAAUGGGAUUAGAUACCCCAGUAGUC